AUCAGCGUUGAAGAAAUAUAAACCUUCUGUGCUUAUGGAAGAAGUUAAGAAUGGUAUAGAAGUGAUUGAACGAGUCUUCGCAACCCUCCAGGAUCCAAAUAAGGUUGAUUUUUUUUAAAAGGGGAAAUUUUUUUUUGGGCCCCUGGACUAAGGGGGCCCUAGGCACAGGCCUAGCCCGCCUAUGCCCAGAGCCAGCCUUGUGAACAAGUCGUUGAGGAGAAGAAGGAGGAGGUAAAAAUCUCGGUACUAUCUCUCUGUUUUACAUUAUACAUUUUGAUUUUAGUUAUCGACUCUUUCAUUAUCUACAUGUUUCAUCUAUUAUAUUACUUAGAUUUUAAUUAUGCACAAGUCAACAAAACCAUUGGAAGGAGCUGAAUUGGAAUUGCAUGAUCUGAUUAACUAAACUGUCCUUUCAAUGAUUAAUGAGGUAACCUAUUUGUAUUUAGACAAUAAUUGUUGGUUAUAAUUGAAAAGUAAAAAAAAACUGUUAAAUCAAGUUUACUUAUUAUCAAUUCAGAGUUUUUUUGGUGGAAUCAGCGUUGAAGAUAUUUAAACCUUCUGUGCUUAUGGAAAAAGUUAAGAAUGGUAUAGAAGUGAUUGAAUGAGUCUUCGCAACCCUCCAAGAUCCAAAUAAGGUUAAUUUUUUUCAAAAAGAUGAAAUUUUUUUUGGGCCCCUGGACUAAGGGGCCCUAGGCAUAGGCCUAGCCCGCGUAUGCCCAAGGCCAGCCAUUAGAAUAAGUCGUUGAGGAGAAGAAGGAGGAGGUAGAAAUCUCGGUACUAUCUCUCUGUUUUUGAUUAUACAUUUUGAUUUUAGUUAUCAACUCUUUCAUUUUCUCUAUUUUUCAUCUAUUAUAUUCCUUGGAUUUUAAUUAUACACAAGUCAACAAAACCAUCGGAAGGAGCUGAAUCGGAAUUGCAUGAUCUGAAGCGAGAAGAACAAGCAGGCCCUGCCUUGAAAUUUAGUGGGCUAUAGAGAAAAAAAUAUAUUUUUGGUCCUUUAUUUAAAAAAAAAACAGUAUUUUUUUUCAAAAUCAUCUAAAAAAUUAUAUAAUUUUGAAAGGGGAAAUUUUUUUUUUGGGCCCCUGGACUAAGUGGACACUAGGCACAGGCCUAGCCUAACUAUGCCCAGGGCCGGCCCUGAGAACAUGUUAUUGAGUAGAAGAAGGAGGAGGUAGAAAUCUCGGUACUAUCUCUCUGUUUUACAUUAUACAUUUUGAUUUUAGUUAUCGACUCUUUCAUUUUCUCCAUGUUUCAUCUAUUAUAUUUCUUGGAUUUUAAUUAUACACAAGUUAACAAAACUAUUGGAAGGAGCUCAAUCAGAAUUGCAUAAUCUGAUUAACUCAACUGUCCUUUCAAUGAUUAAUGAGGUAAGCUAUUAGUAUUUAGACAAUAAUUGUUUCUUAUAAUUGAAAAGUAAAAAAAACUGUUAAAUCAAGUUUACUUAUUAUCAAUUCAGGGUUUUUUGGUGGAAUCAGCGUUGAAGAAAUAUAAACCUUCUGUGCUUAUGGAAGAAGUUAAGAAUGGUAUAGAAGUGAUUGAACGAGUCUUCGCAACCCUCCAGGAUCCAAAUAAGGUUGAUUUUUUUUAAAAGGGGAAAUUUUUUUUUUGGGCCCCUGGACUAAGGGGGCCCUAGGCACAGGCCUAGCCCGCCUAUGCCCAGAGCCAGCCUUGUGAACAAGUUGUUGAGGAGAAGAAGGAGGAGGUAAAAAUCUCGGUACUAUCUCUCUGUUUUACAUUAUACAUUUUGAUUUUAGUUAUCGACUCUUUCAUUAUCUACAUGUUUCAUCUAUUAUAUUACUUAGAUUUUAAUUAUGCACAAGUCAACAAAACCAUUGGAAGGAGCUGAAUUGGAAUUGCAUGAUCUGAUUAACUAAACUGUCCUUUCAAUGAUUAAUGAGGUAACCUAUUUGUAUUUAGACAAUAAUUGUUGGUUAUAAUUGAAAAGUAAAAAAAAACUGUUAAAUCAAGUUUACUUAUUAUCAAUUCAGGGUUUUUUGGUGGAAUCAGCGUUGAAGAAAUUUAAACCUUCUGUGCUUAUGGAAAAAGUUAAGAAUGGUAUAGAAGUGAUUGAAUGAGUCUUCGCAACCCUCCAAGAUCCAAAUAAGGUUAAUUUUUUUCAAAAAGAUGAAAUUUUUUUUGGGCCCCUGGACUAAGGGGCCCUAGGCAUAGGCCUAGCCCGCGUAUGCCCAAGGCCAGCCAUUAGAAUAAGUCGUUGAGGAGAAGAAGGAGGAGGUAGAAAUCUCGGUACUAUCUCUCUGUUUUUCAUUAUACAUUUUGAUUUUAGUUAUCAACUCUUUCAUUUUCUCUAUUUUUCAUCUAUUAUAUUCCUUGGAUUUUAAUUAUACACAAGUCAACAAAACCAUCGGAAGGAGCUGAAUCGGAAUUGCAUGAUCUGAAGCGAGAAGAACAAGCAGGCCCUGCCUUGAAAUUUAGUGGGCUAUAGAGAAAAAAAUAUAUUUUUGGUCCUUUAUCUAAAAAAAAAACAGUAUUUUUUUUCAAAAUCAUCUAAAAAAUUAUAUAAUUUUGAAAGGGGAAAUUUUUUUUUUGGGCCCCUGGACUAAGUGGACACUAGGCACAGGCCUAGCCUGCCUAUGCCCAGGGCCGGCCCUGAGAACAAGUUAUUGAGGAGAAGAAGGAGGAGGUAGAAAUCUCGGUACUAUCUCUCUGUUUUACAUUAUACAUUUUGAUUUUAGUUAUCGACUCUUUCAUUUUCUCCAUGUUUCAUCUAUUAUAUUCCUUGGAUUUUAAUUAUACACAAGUUAACAAAACUAUUGGAAGGAGCUCAAUCAGAAUUGCAUGAUCUGAUUAACUCAACUGUCAUUUCAAUGAUUAAUGAGGUAAGCUAUUAGUAUUUAGACAAUAAUUGUUUCUUAUAAUUGAAAAGUAAAAAAAACUGUUAAAUCAAGUUUACUUAUUAUCAAUUCAGGGUUUUUUGGUGGAAUCAGCGUUGAAGAAAUAUAAACCUUCUGUGCUUAUGGAAGAAGUUAAGAAUGGUAUAGAAGUGAUUGAACGAGUCUUCGCAACCCUCCAGGAUCCAAAUAAGGUUGAUUUUUUUUAAAAGGGGAAAUUUUUUUUUUGGGCCCCUGGACUAAGGGGGCCCUAGGCACAGGCCUAGCCCGCCUAUGCCCAGAGCCAGCCUUGUGAACAAGUCGUUGAGGAGAAGAAGGAGGAGGUAAAAAUCUCGGUACUAUCUCUCUGUUUUACAUUAUACAUUUUGAUUUUAGUUAUCGACUCUUUCAUGAUCUACAUGUUUCAUCUAUUAUAUUACUUAGAUUUUAAUUAUGCACAAGUCAACAAAACCAUUGGAAGGAGCUGAAUUGGAAUUGCAUGAUCUGAUUAACUAAAUUGUCCUUUCAAUGAUUAAUGAAGUAACCUAUUUGUAUUUAGACAAUAAUUGUUGGUUAUAAUUGAAAAGUAAAAAAAAAACUGUUAAAUCAAGUUUACUUAUUAUCAAUUCAGGGUUUUUUGGUGGAAUCAGCGUUGAAGAAAUUUAAACCUUCUGUGCUUAUGGAAAAAGUUAAGAAUGGUAUAGAAGUGAUUGAAUGAGUCUUCGCAACCCUCCAAGAUCCAAAUAAGGUUAAUUUUUUUCAAAAAGAUGAAAUUUUUUUUGGGCCCCUGGACUAAGGGGCCUUAGGCAUAGGCCUAGCCCGCGUAUGCCCAAGGCCAGCCAUUAGAAUAAGUCGUUGAGGAGAAGAAGGAGGAGGUAGAAAUCUCGGUACUAUCUCUCUGUUUUUCGUUAUACAUUUUGAUUUUAGUUAUCAACUCUUUCAUUUUCUCUAUUUUUCAUCUAUUAUAUUCCUUGGAUUUUAAUUAUACACAAGUCAACAAAACCAUCGGAAGGAGCUGAAUCGGAAUUGCAUGAUCUGAAGCGAGAAGAACAAGCAGGCCCUGCCUUGAAAUUUAGUGGGCUAUAGAGAAAAAAAUAUAUUUUUGGUCCUUUAUUUAAAAAAAAAAAAAAACAGUAUUUUUUUUCAAAAUCAUCUAAAAAAUUAUAUAAUUUUGAAAGGGGAAAUUUUUUUUUUGGGCCCCUGGACUAAGUGGACACUAGGCACAGGCCUAGCCUGCCUAUGCCCAGGGUCGGCCCUGAGAACAAGUUAUUGAGGAGAAGAAUGAGGAGGUAGAAAUCUCGGUACUAUCUCUCUGUUUUACAUUAUACAUUUUGAUUUUAGUUAUCGACUCUUUCAUUUUCUCCAUGUUUCAUCUAUUAUAUUCCUUGGAUUUUAAUUAUACACAAGUUAGCAAAAUCAUUGGAAGGAGUUGAAUCGGAAUUGCAUGAUCUGAUUAACUCAACUGUCCUUUCAGUGAUUAAUGAGGUAAGCUAUUAGUAUUUAGACAAUAAUUGUUGGUUAUAAUUGAAAAGUAAAAAAACUAUUACAUCAAGUUUACUAUUUAGGGUUUUUUUGUGGAAUCAGCGUUGAAGAAAUUUAAACCUUCUGUGCUUAUGGAAGAAGUUAAGAAUGGUAUAGAAGUGAUUGAACGAGUCUUCGCAACCCUCCAGGAUCCAAAUAAGGUUGAUUUUUUUUAAAAGGGAAAAUGUUUUUUGGGCGCCUGGACUAAGGGGGCUCUAGGCACAGGCCUAGCCCGCCUAUGCCCAGGGCCAGCCUUGAGAACAAGUCGUUGAGGAGAAGAAGGAGGACGUAGAAAUCUCGGUACUAUCUCUCUCUUUUACAUUUUACAUUUUGAUUUUACUUAUCGACUCUUUCAUUUUCUCCAUGUUUCAUCUAUUUUAUUCCUUGGAUUUUAAUUAUACACAAGUCAACAAAACCAUUGGAAGGAGCUCAAUGGGAAUUGCAUGAUCUAAUUAACUCAACUAUCCUUUCAGUGAUUAAUGAGUUAAGUUAUUAGUAUUUAGACAAUAAUUGUUGGUUAUAAUUGAAAAGUAAAAAAACUGUUAAAUCAAGUUUACUAUUCAGGGUGUUUUGGUGGAAUCAAUAAUGAAGAAAUUUAAACCUUCUGUGCUUAUGAAAGAAGAUUAGAAUGUUAUAAAAGUGAUUGAACGAGUCUUCGCAACCCUCCCGGAUCCAAAUAUGGUUGAUUUUUUUUAAAAGGGGAAUUUUUUAUUUGGCCCCUGGACUAGGGGGCCCUAGGCACAGGCCUAGCCGCCUAUGCCUAGGGCCAGCCCUGAGAACAACUCGUUGAGGAGAAGAAGGAGGAGGUUGAAAUCUCGGUACUAUCUCUCUCUUUUACAUUUUACAUUUUGAUUUUAGUUAUCGACUCUUUCAUUUUCUCCAUGUUUCAUCUAUUUUAUUCCUUGGAUUUUAAUUAUACACAAGUCAACAAAACCAUUGGAAGGAGCUGAAUCAGAAUUGCAUGAUUUGAUUAGCUCAACAGUCCUUUCAAUGAUUAAUGAGAAUUUUUUGGUGGAAUCAGCGUUGAAGAAAUUUCCACAUUAUGUGCUUAUGGAAGAAGUUAAGAAUGGUAUAGAAGUGAUUGUACGAGUCUUUGCUACCCUCCAGGAUCGAAAUAAGGUUGAUUUUUUUAAAAAAAGGGAAAAACUUUUUUGGGCCCCUGGACUAGGGCGGCCCUAGGCACAGGCCUAGCCCGCCUAUGCCCAUGGCCAUCCCUAAGAACAAGUCAGUUAGGAGAAGAAGGAGGAGGUAGAAAUCUCGGUACUAUCUCUCUGUUUUACAUUAUACAUUUUGAUUUUAGUUAUCUACUCUUUCAUUUUCUCCAUGUUUCAUCUAUUAUAUUCCUUGGAUUUUAAUUAUACACAAGUCAACAAAACCAUUAGAAGGAGCUAAAUCAGAAUUGCACGAUCUAAUUAACUCAACUGUCCUUUCAUCUAUUUUUGGGCCUUUAUUUAGAAAAAAAUAGUAUUUUUCAAAAUCAGCAAAAAAAUUGUAUAAUUUUGAAAGGGGAAUUUUUUUUUGGGGCCCCUGGACUAGGUGGGCCCUAGGCAAAGCUAGCCCGCCUAUGCUAAGGGCCGGCCCUAAGAACAAGUUGUUGACGAGAAGAAGGAGGAGGUAGAAAUCUCGGUACUAUCUCUCUGUUUUACAUUAUACAUUUUGAUUUUAGUUAUCGACUCUUUCAUUUUCUCCAUGUUUCAUCUAUUAUAUUCCUUCAAUUUUAAUUAUACACAAGUCAACAAAACUAUUUGAAGAAGCUUAAUCGGAAUUGCAUGAUCUGAAGCGAGAAGAACAAGUCGUUGAGGAGAAGAAGGAGGAGGUAGAAAUCUCGGUACUAUCUCUCUGUUUUACAUUAUACAUUUUGAUUUUAGUUAUUGACUCUUUCAUUUUCUCCAUGUUUCAUCUAUUACUUUCUUUAAAUUUUUAUUAUACACAAGCCAACAAAACCAUUGGAAGGAGCUGAAUCGGAAUUGCAUGAUCUGAAGCGAGAAGAACAAGGAGGCCCGGCCUUGAUAUUUAGUGGGCUGUAGAGAAAAAAAAUUAUUUUGGGGCCUUUAUUUAGGAAAAAAAAUGGUAUUUUUAAAAAAUCAACAAAAAAAAUUGUAUAAUUUUAAAAGGAGAAUUUUUUUUGGGCCCUGGACUAGGUGGCCCCUUGGCAAAGGCCUAGCCCGCCUAUGCAAAAGAAAUUGUUAUAAAGAUAUUUUUUUUGUUUAACUUUUCAUAUCAUAAUAGAUCUUAAAUCUACGUCGAGGAAAACUUAAGAUUGCUGCAAAAAUGCAUGUUGUAACAUUUUAUUACUAAAUUGAUUAUCUGACUAUAGUUUGUUGAUUAUGUGUUUGUCCUUUCUACUCUUUUAACCAUAAUUAAUCCUCUCAGACAGUUUCAGGGAACGAAUGAAAAAUUAUACAGUUGAGUAUCAA
Cannabis sativa is the source of this 6766-nucleotide long non-coding RNA. RefSeq lists it as uncharacterized. The record is from RefSeq and is a predicted model, not a curated record. The transcript is spliced from 2 exons. NCBI's taxonomy places the organism in Eukaryota, Viridiplantae, Streptophyta, Magnoliopsida, Rosales, Cannabaceae.